GUUACCUCGUCUGUUGUGCGAAAACUCUUUGGUAUGGAGGAGUCUGAUAUAUUCUGGUCAUAGCUUCCUUUGAUGCGCCUACGACGUUUCUGUGGGCAAGUUUUUAGUGCGGAGUGCGGUUCCAAUGUUGCCUACUUACGAAUUUGCCACUGGUCCUGUUGUGAGUGCUUUCAGCUUGGCGUCGGGCAAUUGGAUAACUCUCUACCGGAUUGCCUGCUUGCUGCUCUUCUGCGAGUUACUCAUUGGUAAGCAUUAACAUUUGUCAAUAUAACGUUAUUUAUCCAUAUAUAUUGUGCACCUGCACAUGGCCGGAUUUUCAUAUUUGCCACCCUCAGACCGUCUAGAUUUUGCAGUCCCCACGAUUUUGCUGCCAGAUCAUCAUGCAUACAUGAUGUUUGUAUAUUACGUAACUUAAAAGGAAUUUUAAUGAAACGUACACUGGUAAAAGAACACAUUGGAUCUAGAGUCCAGACUCUUGAAAACAUUGACAAGAAAAUG
RNAcentral lists this long non-coding RNA (498 nucleotides) under Bemisia tabaci. RNAcentral's name for it is "lncRNA ENSSSA1UGG005543". The record is from RNAcentral. Lineage: Eukaryota; Metazoa; Arthropoda; Insecta; Hemiptera; Aleyrodidae.